CAAAUUUCUGCCCUAUCAACUUUCGAUGGUAGAGUAGUGGUCCUACCAUGGUUUCAACGGGUAACGGGGAAUUAGGGUUCUAUUCCGGAGAGGGAGCCUGAGAAACGGCUACCACAUCCAAGGAAGGCAGCAGGCGCGCAAAUUACCCAAUCCCGACACGGGGAGGUAGUGACAAUAAAUACUGAUACAGGGCUCUUUUGGGUCUUGUAAUUGGAAUGAGUACAAUUUAAAUCCCUUAACGAGGAACAAUUGGAGGGCAAGUCUGGUGCCAGCAGCCGCGGUAAUUCCAGCUCCAAUAGCGUAUAUUAAAGUUGUUGCAGUUAAAAAGCUCGUAGUUGAACCUUGGGCCUGGCUGGCCGGUCCGCCUCACCGCGUGCAACUGGUCCGGCCGGGCCUUUCCUUCUGGGGAGCCGAUGCCCUUCACUGGGUGUGUCGGGGAACCAGGACUUUUACUUUGAACAAAUUCAGAGUGUUCAAAAGCAGGGCCUAUGCUCGAAUACAUUAGCAUGGAAUAAUAGAAUAGGACGUGUGGGUU
Molecule: ribosomal RNA, 535 nt
Filed under: uncultured fungus
Lineage: Eukaryota; Fungi
Description: SSU rRNA
Rfam family: Eukaryotic small subunit ribosomal RNA
Source: RNAcentral